GUGCUCACUUUGGCAGCUCAUAAACUAAAAUUGGAACGAUACAGAGAAAAUUAGCAUGGCCCCUUCGCGAGGGUGACAUGAAAAUUCGUGAAGUGUCCAUAUUUCUU
Molecule: small nuclear RNA, 107 nt
Organism: Trichosurus vulpecula (common brushtail)
Lineage: Eukaryota; Metazoa; Chordata; Mammalia; Diprotodontia; Phalangeridae
Source: RefSeq, a predicted model, not a curated record